GCCGAUGUCUGUGAGAUCGGGACAUCCUUAGCCAUGAUAUUAAUUUAUUUCCAAUAUUUAAGUGAACUCUGAUUUGCAGUGGAUAUUGUCCUAAUGUGCUGAAUUGUUUUGUAUUGUGUUUCAAGUUGGUGGAAUCCGUUCUUACCAACAUACCUGGUGGGGAACGUGUAAUAAAUGAAUACAACCGAACCAAAUCCUUGAUGGAUGAAACCAGACGAAAAAUGGUGAACAUACUGGCAGCUGACAUGACAGAAAAGAAUGGUACAUCCCCACCCAGACAAGUGAAAGAAAAGUACGCCAGAGGAAUAGUGACCUUAUUCCCCUACCUCAGUGACCCAUUCUCUAAGAAUGGCUAUGAGCACUAUUAUGAUGGUGAGAGUGGAACUGGGCACUUGGCCUGAAGGAUUAAAACUAUUCAGAGAGGCACCGCUAAAGACAGGCGAUCGUUGUUUGGAGGUAAUACUGAAAAAAUGUAUGGAACAAAACAGUCGCAAGAUCAGUUAUUGCAUUUGUUGUGCAUAAUGUUUUUCAGUAAAAUAAUUUUCCUUGAAGUCUAGCUACACCCUUCAAUUCCUCUGACUUUGUCUACAGGCUGGCACGGCAAAUUUUAGGGUGAUUCAAAACAGCAGACAUUUUGAGCCAUUUUCAAGGCACAAAAUAAUAGUAAUUAUCAUAAAUUGUGAAGAAAAAAAUG
This is a long non-coding RNA of Mugil cephalus (flathead mullet), 694 nucleotides long. RefSeq lists it as uncharacterized. The transcript has 3 exons. Lineage: Eukaryota; Metazoa; Chordata; Actinopteri; Mugiliformes; Mugilidae. The record is from RefSeq and is a predicted model, not a curated record.